Molecule: ribosomal RNA, 429 nt
Filed under: Gemmatimonadota bacterium
Lineage: Bacteria; Pseudomonadati; Gemmatimonadota
Description: Gemmatimonadetes bacterium partial 16S ribosomal RNA
Rfam family: Bacterial small subunit ribosomal RNA
Source: RNAcentral
UAGGGAAUCUUCGGCAAUGGACGAAAGUCUGACCGAGCAACGCCGCGUGAGUGAAGAAGGUUUUCGGUUCGUAAAACUCCGUUGUUAGAGAAGAACAAGGACGUUAGUAACUGAACGUCCCCUGACGGUAUCUAACCAGAAAGCCACGGCUAACUACGUGCCAGCAGCCGCGGUAAUACGUAGGUGGCAAGCGUUGUCCGGAUUUAUUGGGCGUAAAGCGAGCGCAGGCGGUUUCUUAAGUCUGAUGUGAAAGCCCCCGGCUCAACCGGGGAGGGUCAUUGGAAGCUGGGAGACUUGAGUGCAGAAGAGGAGAGUGGAAUUCCAUGUGUAGCGUUGAAAUGCGUAGAUAUAUGGAGGAACACCAGUGGCGAAGGCGGCUCUCUGGUCUGUAACUGACGCUGAGGCUAGAAAGCGUGGGGAGCAAACAGG